GGCUCGAUAGCUCAGUCGGUAGAGCAACGGACUGAAAAUCCGUGUGUCGCCGGUUCGAUCCCGGCUUGAGCCACCA
RNAcentral lists this transfer RNA (76 nucleotides) under bacterium. Its description in RNAcentral is "tRNA-Phe". It matches the Rfam family "tRNA". From Rfam's summary of the family: Transfer RNA (tRNA) molecules are approximately 80 nucleotides in length. Their secondary structure includes four short double-helical elements and three loops (D, anti-codon, and T loops). The record is from RNAcentral.